UACGAAGGGGGCUAGCGUUGCUCGGAAUCACUGGGCGUAAAGGGCGCGUAGGCGGCCGGCCAAGUCGGGGGUGAAAGCCUGUGGCUCAACCACAGAAUGGCCCUCGAUACUGGCUGGCUCGAGACCGGAAGAGGUUGGUGGAAUUGCGAGUGUAGAGGUGAAAUUCGUAGAUAUUCGCAAGAACACCGGUGGCGAAGGCGGCCAACUGGACCACAACUGACGCUGAGGCGCGAAAGCGUGGGGAGCAAACAGG
RNAcentral lists this ribosomal RNA (253 nucleotides) under uncultured bacterium. RNAcentral's name for it is "partial 16S ribosomal RNA". It matches the Rfam family "Bacterial small subunit ribosomal RNA", at positions 524 to 776 of the family's 1533-position model. The record is from RNAcentral.